AGAGCGAACGCUGGCGGCAGGCUUAACACAUGCAAGUCGAACGGAUCCCUCGGGAUCAGUGGCGGACGGGUGAGUAACACGUGGGAACGUGCCUUUAGGUUCGGAAUAACUCAGGGAAACUUGAGCUAAUACCGGAUGUGCCCUUCGGGGGAAAGAUUUAUCGCCUUUAGAGCGGCCCGCGUCUGAUUAGCUUGUUGGUGGGGUAAUGGCCCACCAAGGCAACGAUCAGUAGCUGGUCUGAGAGGAUGGCCAGCCACACUGGGACUGAGACACGGCCCAGACUCCUACGGGAGGCAGCAGUGGGGAAUCUUGCGCAAUGGGGGAAACCCUGACGCAGCCAUGCCGCGUGGAUGAUGAAGGUCUUAGGAUUGUAAAAUCCUUUCAGCGGGGACGAUAAUGACGGUACCCGCAGAAGAAGCUCCGGCUAACUUCGCGCCAGCAGCCGC
Molecule: ribosomal RNA, 446 nt
Filed under: uncultured bacterium
Lineage: Bacteria
Description: SSU rRNA
Rfam family: Bacterial small subunit ribosomal RNA
Source: RNAcentral